GUUGGGCGUGAUGGCAGGCGCCUGUAAUCCCAGCUACUUGGGAGGCUGAGACAGAAAAAUCGCUUGAAUCCAGGAGGCAGAGGUUGCAGUGAGCCGAGAUCGCGCCACUGCGCUCCAGCCUGGUGACAGAGCAAGACUCCGUCUCCACAAAAAAAAAAAAAGAAAGAAAGUUCAAUCUCGCCAGUAAUAACUGUAAAUUAAAACAAUAAGAUAAGAUGCCCUUUUUUUUUUGGAGACGGAGUCUCGCUCUGUUGCCAGGCUGGAGCGCAGUGGUGCGAUCUCGGCUCACUGCAACCUCUGCCUCCCGGAUUCAAGCGAUUCUUCUGCCUCAG
This 332-nucleotide small RNA is filed under the name Papio anubis (olive baboon). Its description in RNAcentral is "Metazoan signal recognition particle RNA (ENSPANG00000037571.1)". The record is from Rfam by way of RNAcentral. Lineage: Eukaryota; Metazoa; Chordata; Mammalia; Primates; Cercopithecidae.